Molecule: long non-coding RNA, 420 nt
Organism: Cyprinus carpio (common carp)
Lineage: Eukaryota; Metazoa; Chordata; Actinopteri; Cypriniformes; Cyprinidae
Exons: 3
Source: RefSeq, a predicted model, not a curated record
AAAAAAAAGGUUUCGCCUCACGUCGCGGCGAUGACGUCAUCACUCGCGCGCUCGCAACAGCAGCGUCGAGUCUCGUGAGGAGAGCAGUUCGCGGUACUUCACGUGUUUACAUUAUUGUAAAACACUCUUAACCGUUUAUUUAAGCAACAUCCAAAGAGCUCACAAGUACAAGCAUCAGAGCAUCAGGAAGAAGUAAAAUCUGCAGAGACAGAGUUUAUUGAAGGACAGAGAGAACAUGAGAGAUCCAGAACCCUGCAGAAUCAAACACACUGAAGAACAAACAGAUCUGAUCGAGAAGAAACAUGUCAAAACUGGAGAAAAAUCUCUCACAGAGACUGAAAGAGUUUCUUUACUGAAGAGAAGAGACAAAGAAAAGUUUCACCUGCACUCAGUGUGGAAAGAGUUUCACAUUGCAACAGA